UCCCUGGAGGACUAGUGGUUAGGCCACAGCACUCUCACCACUGCGGCCCCGGGUUUGAUUCCCAGCCUGGGAA
This 73-nucleotide transfer RNA is filed under the name Pangasianodon hypophthalmus (striped catfish). RNAcentral's name for it is "tRNA-Glu". Lineage: Eukaryota; Metazoa; Chordata; Actinopteri; Siluriformes; Pangasiidae. The record is from RNAcentral.